Herpailurus yagouaroundi (jaguarundi) is the source of this 177-nucleotide long non-coding RNA. RefSeq lists it as uncharacterized. The transcript is spliced from 2 exons. The record is from RefSeq and is a predicted model, not a curated record. Lineage: Eukaryota; Metazoa; Chordata; Mammalia; Carnivora; Felidae.
AGCAACAUUGUGCGUGGUAACUUGACCCCUCAUGAGGGGACAGAAGUGGUGCCAGGUAUGGUCUAUCAGGUCUCCAGAGCGCGGAUAUCCAGCCGCCGGUCACGGACAAUACGCAAGGCAACUGGCUACACCCGAGAGUGCGUUUUACGGGGCAAACGUUUAUGAAAUGUGCUUCCA